Molecule: ribosomal RNA, 1440 nt
Filed under: Streptococcus suis
Lineage: Bacteria; Bacillati; Bacillota; Bacilli; Lactobacillales; Streptococcaceae
Description: bacterial SSU rRNA
Rfam family: Bacterial small subunit ribosomal RNA
Source: RNAcentral
AGUUUGAUCAUGGCUCAGGACGAACGCUGGCGGCGUGCCUAAUACAUGCAAGUAGAACGCUGAAGUCUGGUGCUUGCACUAGACGGAUGAGUUGCGAACGGGUGAGUAACGCGUAGGUAACCUGCCUCAUAGCGGGGGAUAACUAUUGGAAACGAUAGCUAAUACCGCAUAACAGUAUUUACUGCAUGGUAGAUACUUGAAAGGAGCAAUUGCUUCACUAUGAGAUGGACCUGCGUUGUAUUAGCUAGUUGGUGAGGUAACGGCUCACCAAGGCAUCGAUACAUAGCCGACCUGAGAGGGUGAUCGGCCACACUGGGACUGAGACACGGCCCAGACUCCUACGGGAGGCAGCAGUAGGGAAUCUUCGGCAAUGGGGGCAACCCUGACCGAGCAACGCCGCGUGAGUGAAGAAGGUUUUCGGAUCGUAAAGCUCUGUUGUAAGAGAAGAACUGUGAGAAGAGUGGAAAGUUUCUCACUUGACGGUAUCUUACCAGAAAGGGACGGCUAACUACGUGCCAGCAGCCGCGGUAAUACGUAGGUCCCGAGCGUUGUCCGGAUUUAUUGGGCGUAAAGCGAGCGCAGGCGGUUUGAUAAGUCUGAAGUAAAAGGCUGUGGCUUAACCAUAGUACGCUUUGGAAACUGUCAAACUUGAGUGCAGAAGGGGAGAGUGGAAUUCCAUGUGUAGCGGUGAAAUGCGUAGAUAUAUGGAGGAACACCGGUGGCGAAAGCGGCUCUCUGGUCUGUAACUGACGCUGAGGCUCGAAAGCGUGGGGAGCGAACAGGAUUAGAUACCCUGGUAGUCCACGCCGUAAACGAUGAGUGCUAGGUGUUGGGUCCUUUCCGGGACUCAGUGCCGCAGCUAACGCAUUAAGCACUCCGCCUGGGGAGUACGACCGCAAGGUUGAAACUCAAAGGAAUUGACGGGGGCCCGCACAAGCGGUGGAGCAUGUGGUUUAAUUCGAAGCAACGCGAAGAACCUUACCAGGUCUUGACAUCCCAGUGACCGUCCUAGAGAUAGGAUUUUUCUUCGGAACACUGGUGACAGGUGGUGCAUGGUUGUCGUCAGCUCGUGUCGUGAGAUGUUGGGUUAAGUCCCGCAACGAGCGCAACCCCUAUUGUUAGUUGCCAUCAUUCAGUUGGGCACUCUAGCGAGACUGCCGGUAAUAAACCGGAGGAAGGUGGGGAUGACGUCAAAUCAUCAUGCCCCUUAUGACCUGGGCUACACACGUGCUACAAUGGCUGGUACAACGAGUCGCAAGUCGGUGACGGCAAGCUAAUCUCUUAAAGCCAGUCUCAGUUCGGAUUGUAGGCUGCAACUCGCCUACAUGAAGUCGGAAUCGCUAGUAAUCGCGGAUCAGCACGCCGCGGUGAAUACGUUCCCGGGCCUUGUACACACCGCCCGUCACACCACGAGAGUUUGUAACACCCGAAGUCGGUGAG